RNAcentral lists this ribosomal RNA (253 nucleotides) under uncultured bacterium. RNAcentral's name for it is "partial 16S ribosomal RNA". It matches the Rfam family "Bacterial small subunit ribosomal RNA", at positions 524 to 776 of the family's 1533-position model. The record is from RNAcentral.
UACCGGGGGGGCAAGCGUUGUUCGGAAUUACUGGGCGUAAAGGGCUCGUAGGCGGCCAACUAAGUCGGACGUGAAAUCCCCAGGCUCAACCUGGGAACUGCGUCCGAUACUGGAUGGCUUGAAUCCGGGAGAGGGAUGCAGAAUUCCAGGUGUAGCGGUGAAAUGCGUAGAUAUCUGGAGGAAUACCGGUGGCGAAGGCGGUUCUCUGGGAAUGUCCUGACGCUGAGGAGCGAAAGUGUGGGGAGCGAACAGG